AAAUUUAAAAUUAUUAUUUUUAUUAUAAUUUAAAUUAUUUUAAUAAAAAUAAUUUUAUUAGUUAAUUUUGUUUUAGUAUUUUUUAAAGAAUAAAUUUUUUUAAUUAUAAUUAAAUAGUAUUGUGAAAGAAUUUUUGAAAUAUUUUAUUUAUAUUAUUAAAUAAUAUAUAUUUUUAAAAAAGUAAAUUUAAUUUAUUGUAUCUUGUGUAUCAGAGUUUAUUAAAUAAAUAGUAUUUAAUAAUAUUUUUCUCAAAUUUAAAAGAUUUAUUUUAUUAUAAUUUUUUUUGUGGAAUAAAAAUUAUUAAUAUUAAAAUAGUAAUGAAAUGUUAUUCGUUUUUAAAGUUAUUUAGUUUUUUAAUAAAUGAAUUUAAUUCAGAUAUUAUAUUUAAAAUUUUAUUUUUUAUUAUAAUUUUUUUUAAUAUUAAUAUUUUAGGGGAUAAGCUUUAAAAUAAAUUUUUAUAAUUUAUAUGUAUAUUAUAUAUAUAUAUAUAUAUAUAUGCUUAGAAAUAGUUUUUUUUUAAAAAAUGUUAUAAUUUAUAUUUAAAUUAGUAUAAAAUUUUAAUUUAAUAAAAUUUAAUUUUUUAUUAAAAUAAAUUAUUUAAUAAUUAAUUAUUUGUAAUAAUGAUAAAAUUAGUAAAAUUAUAUUUGUUUAAAAAUUAUUUAAAUUUUGUUAGUUUAAGUUAAGGAAUUCGGCAAAUAUUAUAUUCACCUGUUUAACAAAAACAUGUCUUUUUGAAUUUAAUUUAAAGUCUAAUCUGCUCUAUGAAUGAUAAAUUUUAAUGGCCGCAGUAUUUUGACUGUGCAAAGGUAGCAUAAUAAUUAGUCUUUUAAUUAAGGACUGGAAUGAAUGAUUGAAUGAGAUAUAUACUGUCUAUAUUUAAAUAUUAAUUUAAUUUAAUUUUUAAGUUAAAAAGCUUAAAUUUUUUUAAAGGACGAGAAGACCCUAUAGAGUUUCAUAAUUAUUUUAAUUUUAAAAUUUAAUUUAUUUUAAUAUUUUAUUAAUUAUUUUGUUGGGGCGAUAGGAAAAUUAAAUUAACUUUUUUGAUUUAUUAUUUACAUUGAUAUAUGAUUUUUUGAUCCUAUUAUAUAGAUUAACAGGUUAAAUUACCUUAGGGAUAACAGCGUAAUUUUUUUUAGAGUUCUUAUCAAUAAAAAAGAUUGCGACCUCGAUGUUGGAUUAAAAUUUAUUUUAGGUGAAGAAGCUUAAUAAUUAGGUCUGUUCGACCUUUAAAAUUUUACAUGAUCUGAGUUCAAACCGGUGUAAGCCAGGUUGGUUUCUAUCCUUAAAUUUUAAAAAAGUUUUUAGUACGAAAGGACCAAAAUUUUAAAAUAAUUUUUAAUAAGUAGUUGAUUUUUAUUAAAUUUUAAAAAUUAAAACAAAUUUGUUAUUAAAUU
Molecule: ribosomal RNA, 1394 nt
Filed under: Sinopoppia nigroflagella
Lineage: Eukaryota; Metazoa; Arthropoda; Insecta; Hymenoptera; Tenthredinidae
Description: 16S ribosomal RNA
Source: RNAcentral